Molecule: ribosomal RNA, 436 nt
Filed under: Arcopsis sp. YF-2011
Lineage: Eukaryota; Metazoa; Mollusca; Bivalvia; Arcoida; Noetiidae
Description: partial 12S ribosomal RNA
Rfam family: Bacterial small subunit ribosomal RNA (bases 48-436)
Source: RNAcentral
CGUUACAUUAAGUGUUAAGUAAGAUGAAGUAGUGUACAUGUCUGCUAGGCGACUACGUUUGGGUAAAUAAAAGUCGAAGUACUUGGCGGCCUAAGACAUCUCGGCCCGUGAGACUUGAUGAUUAAUCUGAUGAUCCGCAUUGUAGUGUACUUAGUCUUGUAAGCUCUAAGAGAUUAAUAUUUUAGAGUUCAGUUGGUGUAUGGCCGUUGUCAGCUUAUGUUGUUGAGAUGGUGAGAAAUAAGCUUAAGCCAAAACAUAUAAAAAUGUGCUGGAUGAAGUCAGGUCGUUAUGCCGCCUAUGGUUAAGGUUUAAUUGAGUCGCAAUAGUUAGUCUAAAUUCGGAGGUUUGGAUGAAAAAAGCUGUAAGAAGAAAUGGGUAGUAAUAAAGUAGAAGCGCGAUUUUAUGAAUAGUAAAUUUUUAGGUGUACAAAUCGCCC